AGAGGCUGUUAUCUUAAUUUUGCUAGGGGCAUACUGUUUCAGAAAUAGAGUUUGUAAAGUAAAGCUUUUUCUGUCUGAAAGAACCUUGAAUAUGUGCAUAUACCUAUAGUGGGCAUCAAUCCAUCCAGGCUGCUUGUCAGCAGAAACUUGAUGGCAUGAGAAUCUCUUUUCUGAUGAUGCAGAGACCAAGAUCUGAUAACUGAGAUGUUGCUAAGCAGCUGGCAUGCUCCCUUGAUUUCAGAAGUCUUUUCCAAGUGCAUUAGUAUUACAAAUCAUUACCUGCAGAUCUUAAAGACUCGUUUCUCAGUCAUAGGCCUGCUAAUGUGAGCUUUCAGGCUCAAUUUGUGUUUUGUUUUAUAUAGGCCACUUUCCAUAAAGACCUGCAUUUCACAUUUCACUCAUUGUUUUCCCAUUUCAUUAUUUCCAGUGCAGUUUAGGGUAGAAAAAGGGAACUCUGUUUCUGCUUUUAUGGAAGCAAAUAUUUAUUUUUAACAUGAUGCCAUUCAUUCCUCAUUUGAUGACUUUUUAGUGUGUAAAAUUUUGUUAGAGAUACAGAUUAUUAAUCUGAAUGUUAGGAAUAUUAAAUAGCAUUUAUUAACGUUGUCAUUGCUGGAACUGAAGGUGUUGAGCUAUAAUGCUGUUAGUAUGAUGAAGGCUGGAUAGCUCUGUGCAUGCCACAUCAUGCCCACUGCACAUGCAUAGGUUGAUAUGGAUGGUGGUAUGCUGGAACUGCACCCGUGUUACCAGCCACACCCCUUCAGUUUUGUAUUUGGAUGCACUGGGCUCUUUGCAUAUGAAUGCCAUGGUGUAGUGCCUGUGUGUGCCCCUCUUUUCGUGUGGG
This 841-nucleotide long non-coding RNA is filed under the name Gallus gallus (chicken). Lineage: Eukaryota; Metazoa; Chordata; Aves; Galliformes; Phasianidae. The record is from RNAcentral.